AUUGAACGCUGGCGGCAUGCUUUACACAUGCAAGUCGAACGGCAGCGCGGGCUUCGGCCUGGCGGCGAGUGGCGAACGGGUGAGUAAUGCAUCGGAACGUGCCCAGUAGUGGGGGGUAGCCCGGCGAAAGCCGGAUUAAUACCGCAUACGACCUGAGGGUGAAAGCGGGGGACCGAAAGGCCUCGCGCUAUUGGAGCGGCCGAUGUCGGAUUAGCUAGUUGGUGGGGUAAAGGCUUACCAAGGCGACGAUCCGUAGCUGGUCUGAGAGGACGACCAGCCACACUGGGACUGAGACACGGCCCAGACUCCUACGGGAGGCAGCAGUGGGGAAUUUUGGACAAUGGGGGCAACCCUGAUCCAGCCAUGCCGCGUGCGGGAAGAAGGCCUUCGGGCUGUAAACCGCUUUUGUUCGGGAAGAAAUCCUCUGGGCUAAUACCCCGGGGGGAUGACGGUACCGGAAGAAUAAGCACCGGCUAACCACGUG
Molecule: ribosomal RNA, 484 nt
Filed under: uncultured bacterium
Lineage: Bacteria
Description: partial 16S ribosomal RNA
Rfam family: Bacterial small subunit ribosomal RNA
Source: RNAcentral